This 446-nucleotide ribosomal RNA is filed under the name Bradypodion gutturale. RNAcentral describes it as "partial 16S ribosomal RNA". It matches the Rfam family "Bacterial large subunit ribosomal RNA", at positions 1914 to 2596 of the family's 2925-position model. The record is from RNAcentral. Lineage: Eukaryota; Metazoa; Chordata; Lepidosauria; Squamata; Chamaeleonidae.
AAAUUCUUAACGGCCGCGGCACUAAAACCGUGCAAAGGUAGCACAAUCACUUGUCCCUUAAAUGAGGACCCGUAUGAAAGGCAACAUGAGAGAAGACCUGUCUCCUAAGGCCAGCCAGUGAAAUUGAACUACCAGUACAAAAGCUGGUAUUUACAAGCAAGACAAAAAGACCCUAUGGAACUUUAACAAAUUAUUUAUAUAACAUAAAUUAUAGUUUCAGUUGGGACAACUUUAGAGAAAAUUAACCUCUUAAUAAUACACAGACCAACAAGUCUAACUACCCGACCCAGUCACACUGAUUAACGAAACAAGCUACCCUAGGGAUAACAGCGCCACCUUCUCAAAGAGUCCAUAUCAACAAGAAGAUCUACGACCUCGAUGUUGGAUCAGGGUACCCUGACGGUGCAGCAGCUGUCAACGGUUCGUUUGUUCAACGAUUAAUACCC